Syzygium oleosum is the source of this 1094-nucleotide long non-coding RNA. RefSeq lists it as uncharacterized. The record is from RefSeq and is a predicted model, not a curated record. Lineage: Eukaryota; Viridiplantae; Streptophyta; Magnoliopsida; Myrtales; Myrtaceae. The transcript has 2 exons.
AUUUUAUAUCAUUCUUAAAAAUUUUCAAUCUCCAGCAACCGGCACUCGAUUCUUUUAGCCAUUUGUUCACUACUUCACUCAAUACUUUACUCAAACCAUGCUUCCAUGCACAAGACUACUACAACCAAGGCCAUCACAAAUCCUCCCAGGAUCACAUCCCCACCUGCCGCCCCAGAGGAAUGAUGCCUUUGUACUCUUCUCGUGGCUCUCAUCACUGGAGCUUCUGCCAUCAUGCUUGAUCGGAUCCCACCUUCAGAUGGAGCCGGGCUCAGAGCAGGCGGAUAUAAACUUCUCUCUGUCGGUAAUCCUGACAUGCCCGAAUCAUCAUUUGCCCAUGUCUCAGCCACGAACAUGAAAAACAUGGCUAUUGCAAAAUACAUGACUGGAUGCAGCCAAGCCAUGUAAUUGCUGCCUCGAAGGAUUCUUGGACCAAGAUGCAGAGCAAUGCAAAUGUAUGAGAAAAGAGAGGUUUAUAUAUAAGGGAACGGGUAGGAUUGAAUUGAUCCCUUCUUUGUAAAGUAAUCUCGAAAAAGCUGGUACGACCAUGGUCUAAAGACUAAAAAUCAAUGAGAGAAUGGAGAAAAACUUAGGCAGAUACUUUAGCAUUUAUCAGGGGAGGUUGUGUUUGGAUAGGCUUGAUCUGGGGAAACAUCUUAGGACCAUGUAUUGAGACUUUUAAGUCAUUAUUUUUAUAUGCAGUCAGAGAAGAAGAUGGAUUGUCAGCUUACAUAAGACAAGCAAGAACAACUGUCUUUAUAACGCAGUCUCAGGAUCGUUCAGCACUCUUGUGAAGAAGAAUAGUAUUAAAUUAGAUGCUUUCUUCCCUUUUGCAGGGAAUACCUCUCUGUCUUGUUGGAUAUGUAAUGCUCUAUUACGAUGGGACAAGCGUGCACCGACUGUAAACAAAUCAGUGAAUCGGAAUAUGAUAAAUCUCAGCUGCAAAAUCAUAGUCACAUGGAAAUGAACAGAUUGGGAAGUUUGUAUCGUGAUGUAAAAUACGAAAAGAGUUUUGAGUGAGUCCGUCCUGAGGCAAGAGUCAGAUCACAUUAUAAAACUCUGUUUGGUAUCUCAUGUUCCUGAUUUCUUUUAUUGCC